RNAcentral lists this ribosomal RNA (301 nucleotides) under uncultured bacterium. Its description in RNAcentral is "partial 16S ribosomal RNA". It matches the Rfam family "Bacterial small subunit ribosomal RNA", at positions 509 to 807 of the family's 1533-position model. The record is from RNAcentral.
CAGUAGCCGCGGGAAUACGUAGGGUGCAAGCGUUAAUCGGAAUUACUGGGCGUAAAGCGUGCGCAGGCGGUUAUAUAAGACAGAUGUGAAAUCCCCGGGCUCAACCUGGGAACUGCAUUUGUGACUGUAUAGCUAGAGUACGGCAGAGGGGGAUGGAAUUCCGCGUGUAGCAGUGAAAUGCGUAGAUAUGCGGAGGAACACCGAUGGCGAAGGCAAUCCCCUGGGCCUGUACUGACGCUCAUGCACGAAAGCGUGGGGAGCAAACAGGAUUAGAUACCCGAGUAGUCCCUGUCUCUUAUAC